CUGCCCCCGUCCGAAUCUGUCUGCGGCCAAGCACGCAGGAAAAAGUGCACCACCUUAGAGACACCACUACUGGAAACAGACUAGAAAAAGAAAAUCUGAAUGUUCCUAAGGAAAGCAGACCAGAGAGCAUACAUUUUAGAGACUUUUUGUUCCACGUGCCAUUUAAUAAAGCG
RNAcentral lists this long non-coding RNA (173 nucleotides) under Otus sunia (Oriental scops-owl). Its description in RNAcentral is "lncRNA (ENSOSUG00000003398.1)". The record is from RNAcentral. Lineage: Eukaryota; Metazoa; Chordata; Aves; Strigiformes; Strigidae.